Megasphaera sp. is the source of this 117-nucleotide non-coding RNA. Lineage: Bacteria; Bacillati; Bacillota; Negativicutes; Veillonellales; Veillonellaceae. The record is from Rfam.
AUGAAUCUUCAGGGCAGGGUGCAAUUCCCGAUCGGCGGUAUAGUCCGCGAGCGCGUUAGCGCAGGAUUUGGUGCAAUUCCAAAACCGACAGUAUAGUCUGGAUAGAAGAAGGUGAAA